UGGGGAAUAUUGCACAAUGGGGGGAAACCCUGAUGCAGCGACGCCGCGUGAGUGAAGAAGUAUUUCGGUAUGUAAAGCUCUAUCAGCAGGGAAGAUAAUGACGGUACCUGACUAAGAAGCCCCGGCUAACUACGUGCCAGCAGCCGCGGUAAUACGUAGGGGGCAAGCGUUAUCCGGAUUUACUGGGUGUAAAGGGAGCGUAGGUGGCGUGGCAAGUCAGAAGUGAAAAGCCCGGGGCUCAACCCCGGGACUGCUUUUGAAACUGUCAUGCUGGAGUGCAGGAGAGGUAAGUGGAAUUCCUAGUGUAGCGGUGAAAUGCGUAGAUAUUAGGAGGAACACCAGUGGCGAAGGCGGCUUACUGGACGAUAACUGACGUUGAGGCUCGAAAGCGUGGGGAGCAAACAGGAUUAGAUACCCUGGUAGU
RNAcentral lists this ribosomal RNA (424 nucleotides) under uncultured Clostridium sp. Its description in RNAcentral is "bacterial SSU rRNA". It matches the Rfam family "Bacterial small subunit ribosomal RNA", at positions 355 to 794 of the family's 1533-position model. Lineage: Bacteria; Bacillati; Bacillota; Clostridia; Eubacteriales; Clostridiaceae. The record is from RNAcentral.